This 1364-nucleotide ribosomal RNA is filed under the name Actinomyces viscosus. Its description in RNAcentral is "16S ribosomal RNA". It matches the Rfam family "Bacterial small subunit ribosomal RNA", at positions 90 to 1431 of the family's 1533-position model. The record is from RNAcentral. Lineage: Bacteria; Bacillati; Actinomycetota; Actinomycetes; Actinomycetales; Actinomycetaceae.
GAUGAGUGGCGAACGGGUGAGUAACACGUGAGUAACCUGCCCCCUUCUUCUGGAUAACCGCAUGAAAGUGUGGCUAAUACGGGAUAUUCUGUGNCUGNNGCAUGGUGGGNNUGGGAAAGAUGCGCCUUUGGGUGUUUUUGGUGGGGGAUGGGCUCGCGGCCUAUCAGCUUGUUGGUGGGGUGAUGGCCUACCAAGGCGGUGACGGGUAGCCGGCCUGAGAGGGUGGACGGUCACACUGGGACUGAGACACGGCCCAGACUCCUACGGGAGGCAGCAGUGGGGAAUAUUGCACAAUGGGCGCAAGCCUGAUGCAGCGACGCCGCGUGAGGGAUGGAGGCCUUCGGGUUGUAAACCUCUUUCGCCAGUGAAGCAGGCCUGUCCCUUUUGUGGGUGGGUUGACGGUAGCUGGAUAAGAAGCGCCGGCUAACUACGUGCCAGCAGCCGCGGUAAUACGUAGGGCGCGAGCGUUGUCCGGAAUUAUUGGGCGUAAAGAGCUCGUAGGCGGCUGGUCGCGUCUGUCGUGAAAUCCUCUGGCUUAACUGGGGGCUUGCGGUGGGUACGGGCCGGCUUGAGUGCGGUAGGGGAGACUGGAACUCCUGGUGUAGCGGUGGAAUGCGCAGAUAUCAGGAAGAACACCGGUGGCGAAGGCGGGUCUCUGGGCCGUUACUGACGCUGAGGAGCGAAAGCGUGGGGAGCGAACAGGAUUAGAUACCCUGGUAGUCCACGCCGUAAACNUUGGGCACUAGGUGUGGGGGGCCUUUUCCGGGUCUUCCGCGCCGUAGCUAACGCAUUAAGUGCCCCGCCUGGGGAGUACGGCCGCAAGGCUAAAACUCAAAGGAAUUGACGGGGGCCCGCACAAGCGGCGGAGCAUGCGGAUUAAUUCGAUGCAACGCGAAGAACCUUACCAAGGCUUGACAUGUGCCGGUCGGCUCCGGAGACGGGUUUCCUCCUUGUGGGGCCGGUUCACAGGUGGUGCAUGGUUGUCGUCAGCUCGUGUCGUGAGAUGUUGGGUUAAGUCCCGCAACGAGCGCAACCCUUGUCCCGUGUUGCCAGCACGUUGUGGUGGGGACUCGCGGGAGACUGCCGGGGUCAACUCGGAGGAAGGUGGGGAUGACGUCAAAUCAUCAUGCCCCUUAUGUCUUGGGCUUCACGCAUGCUACAAUGGCCGGUACAGAGGGCUGCGAUACCGUGAGGUGGAGCGAAUCCCUUAAAGCCGGUCUCAGUUCGGAUCGGUGUCUGCAACUCGACACCGUGAAGUUGGAGUCGCUAGUAAUCGCAGAUCAGCAACGCUGCGGUGAAUACGUUCUCGGGCCUUGUACACACCGCCCGUCACGUCAUGAAAGUCGGCAACACCCGAAGCCCGU